Molecule: long non-coding RNA, 2076 nt
Filed under: Triticum aestivum (bread wheat)
Lineage: Eukaryota; Viridiplantae; Streptophyta; Magnoliopsida; Poales; Poaceae
Description: long non-coding RNA (TAES_LNC019802)
Source: RNAcentral
UUUCAUUCAAAUCAAUCUAGUUCGUACUGGGAUACUCAAGUAUCGCUGCUGCAAAUUCAGGCACACAAGCUAGCCUAGGCAGCUGGAUGCCCCUUCUCUCUAAUGACCUAUCCAAAAUGUGAAGAAGCUCAUAGUCUAUGGACCCCUUGUGUCUUAUUAUUUCCUGCAUGCAAGCCAGAAGCUUUCCUGUUGCCUUCCGGUUACCGAAGGUCCGAGGCCGUUCGUGUGUUUGCGAAAGUUGUGCUCCUUCAACAACUUGUGAACGGUGGUCUUCUUCAUAUUCAAUGCACUAGCGACAUCUCGGAUCGUUUUUCGAUCCUUCGGAGGUACAGCCAUUAGAGCAUCCAAGUCCAACGCAGCACGCUUUCUUCCAACUCUACCGGCCUUCUUGUUGAUGACCGCAUUCACACCGCCACCUCGCCUAGCAUUAUCCCAUAUCCGCCGGAGGACCCUAGCUGGCACGUCUGUUCGAUCUGAUAAUUCUUUACUCACCCCACGUCUUAGUGGACCACAACCAUUUCUCUCCAAAAUAAUCGCGUACAGCGCACGCUUAUCAUCAUCGUUGUAAAAUGUUCUUCUCUUUUUAUUGGCCAUCUCAACUAGGAAAAACAUACAAGGAUAGCAUUUUGUUAAGUUUGAAACUAGGACAACAAAAUCCUAUUAACUCUUAUUGUUCAUUUCAUAAUCCAGUUUUAGGAUAAACAAAACAUGCAGCUUGACGACAACAAAUACUCAUACUAGGAUUCAACAACUAAAUUAGCGAUACACGUGCAAUCUUCAUCUAUGAAUUCUAUAACUUCCUAAUCGUCAUUAUAUAUAAUAGCCAGAAUUACACAGGUGCAAUCUCUACAGUACUAUAACAGAAAAAAAUGUACAGUGUUCAUUAUCUACAAUAUUUUGCAAUAAUCUCCAUUGAUGAAACAUAUUACUACUGUUCAUUAUUAGUAGAAAGAUAUUGACAUAUGCAAUCUCCAUCUAUGAAAUUGAAACCUGUAUAAUAUUUAAAAAAAUUGCACUGUUCAUAAUCUACUCAGAAUCAGAAAUAGAAAUAAAUAGGCCCAUAAAUGUAUUCUACAUAUAUACUAACAACAAUGUGCCUAUGUUCAUGGUCUAAAGUGCUUAUUUUUUAAAUCCACAACAACAAUAACUGAAAGCAUGAAUUUAAACUAAUCAAACAAAAAACGAGGCACUUUUCUUUAAUCUCAUCAAGUGUAAUCUUCCUCUAUCAAUUACGUAUAUAGCAAAAUUAUGCCCACUGUUCCAUUGCAUGAGCAUGAGUACCAAAUAACAAGCAAAGUAGGUAGGACGCAAACCUACUUAGUUCGGUGCCGGUGUCAUGGCCGUGGUCGUUCUUGUCCGUGCCUCCUGCGCCGCACCUUUCAUCACCACCAGCUGCAGCAUCAUCGUCAUGGCGGUCGCAGCCAGGCCAUCCGCUACACUCGGAUCUCGCCACGGAUGUCACGCGACCAGCGCCUAAAGAACCGGCUGCGUCGCGCACGGCAGCCAGUGCACGAGCACGACCGAAGCAGCCGUGGUUGCCUCCUCCGCUCAAGAUCGACGGGAGCGAUCCGCGGCUCGGGUCGAAUGCUCCUCGCCCACCUAGCCGAGGCAGGCCCGCGACGGAUUCUUCACGGGCGCCAGCGGUCCAGCCGCGCCCUGCUCGACCUCUACGUGCCAGGCCCAGGCCGGCUGCGCCCCGUCCACAAGCGACCCCUCCGCCACCGCCGGCGGCGGCGGCAGACCCACCAUGCCCACGGUUCAGGUCGCCAGCUUGAUCUCGCGGUCGCCCAGCUUCCUCUCGACCGCUACGUCUACAGGAUCUAGGUUUAGAUCAAAGAACGCCAUGGACUUUCAGGACGAGGAAGAAGAGGAAUGAGUAAGCAUCUGUCCUCUGUCCUCUUAUAAGGAGGAUUUGGAGUUCAAAUCUUCGUGCCAUAUUUCCCCCCUAGGCAGCGCAGGGAUUGGAUCGACAUGUGGCGCCGUAAAUUGGGAAAUGGGCAUUGCUGCACGCGACGCGAGGAAGGGAGCGAGGUCGCCGGUUGGGUCACUAGUGAGGCGGAAGAGAAGACGAUGGGG